This 531-nucleotide ribosomal RNA is filed under the name uncultured bacterium. RNAcentral's name for it is "bacterial SSU rRNA". It matches the Rfam family "Bacterial small subunit ribosomal RNA", at positions 778 to 1301 of the family's 1533-position model. The record is from RNAcentral.
AAAGAUACCCCGGUAGUCCACGCCGUAAACGAUGAAUGCCAGCCGUUGGGGGAGCUUGCUCUUCAGUGGCGCAGCUAACGCUUUAAGCAUUCCGCCUGGGGAGUACGGUCGCAAGAUUAAAACUCAAAGGAAUUGACGGGGGGCCCGCACAAGCGGUGGAGCAUGUGGUUUAAUUCGAAGCAACGCGCAGAACCUUACCAGCUUUUUGACACGUCCGGUUUGAUCGGCAGAGAUGCCUUUCUUCAGUUCGGCUGGCCGGAACACAGGUGCUGCAUGGCUGUCGUCAGCUCGUGCCGUGAGAUGUUGGGUUAAGUCCCGCAACGAGCGCAACCCUCGCCCCUAGUUGCCAUCAUUCAGUUGGGAACUCUAGGGGGACUGCCGGUGAUAAGCCGCGAGGAAGGUGGGGAUGACGUCAAGUCCUCAUGGCCCUUACAGGCUGGGCUACACACGUGCUACAAUGGGCGGUGACAAUGGGCAGCGAAAGGGCGACCUCGAGCUAAGUACCCAAAAAGCCGUCUCAGUUCAGAUUGC